ACGCGUUAAGUAGACCGCCUGGGGAGUACGGUCGCAAGAUUAAAACUCAAAUGAAUUGACGGGGGCCCGCACAAGCGGUGGAGCAUGUGGUUUAAUUCGAUGCAACGCGAAGAACCUUACCUACUCUUGACAUCCAGAGAAGCCGGAAGAGAUUCUGGUGUGCCUUCGGGAACUCUGAGACAGGUGCUGCAUGGCUGUCGUCAGCUCGUGUUGUGAAAUGUUGGGUUAAGUCCCGCAACGAGCGCAACCCUUAUCCUUGUUUGCCAGCGAGUAAUGUCGGGAACUCCAGGGAGACUGCCGGUGAUAAACCGGAGGAAGGUGGGGACGACGUCAAGUCAUCAUGGCCCUUACGAGUAGGGCUACACACGUGCUACAAUGGCGCAUACAGAGGGCAGCCAACUUGCGAAAGUGAGCGAAUCCCAAAAAGUGCGUCGUAGUCCGGAUUGGAGUCUGCAACUCGACUCCAUGAAGUCGGAAUCGCUAGUAAUCGUGGAUCAGAAUGCCACGGUGAAUACGUUCCCGGGCCUUGUACACACCGCCCGUCACACCAUGGGAGUGGGCUGCAAAAGAAGUAGGUAGUUUAACCUUCGGGAGAACGCU
RNAcentral lists this ribosomal RNA (600 nucleotides) under Vibrio orientalis CIP 102891 = ATCC 33934. RNAcentral describes it as "bacterial SSU rRNA". It matches the Rfam family "Bacterial small subunit ribosomal RNA", at positions 855 to 1454 of the family's 1533-position model. The record is from RNAcentral. Lineage: Bacteria; Pseudomonadati; Pseudomonadota; Gammaproteobacteria; Vibrionales; Vibrionaceae.